CAGACAAGCAGCAGAAAACUUGUUACAGACAUUGGAACAAGAGGCUAGAAAGGCUUCCAAGGAUCUCUACAUUGAAGUUUCCCCCGGCACCUACUCUGUCACAGCAACCUCGGAGGAUAUGGUGAAACAGACACAUGUGGUGGAUGUUAAUGCAGGACAAAGUAUUGAUUUAACUUUCAGUAUAUGAUGAUCACUCUCAAUCAAUCAAAGGAAUAAAACAAUACUACAGUCUCCUAAUGAAUUAAUA
This 247-nucleotide long non-coding RNA is filed under the name Chelonoidis abingdonii (Abingdon island giant tortoise). RNAcentral describes it as "lncRNA (ENSCABG00000003824.1)". The record is from RNAcentral. Lineage: Eukaryota; Metazoa; Chordata; Testudines; Testudinidae.